This 433-nucleotide ribosomal RNA is filed under the name uncultured bacterium. RNAcentral describes it as "partial 16S ribosomal RNA". It matches the Rfam family "Bacterial small subunit ribosomal RNA", at positions 29 to 507 of the family's 1533-position model. The record is from RNAcentral.
AACGAACGCUGGCGGCAUGCCUAACACAUGCAAGUCGAACGAGACCUUCGGGUCUAGUGGCGCACGGGUGCGUAACGCGGGGGAACCUGCCCUUAGGUUCGGAAUAACUCCCCGAAAGGGGUGCUAAUGCAGGAUAAUGUCUUCGGACCAAAGAUUUAUCGCCUUUGGAUGGGCCCGCGUUGGAUUCGCUAGUUGGUAGGGUAAAAGCACACCAAGGCGACGAUCCAUAGCUGGUCGGAGAGGAGGCUCAGCCACAAUUGGGCUGCGACACGGACCAGACUCCUACGCGAGGGAGCAGUGGGGAGUAUUAGAGAAUGGGCGAAAGCCUGAUCCAGCAAUGCCGGGUGAGUGAUGAAGGCCGUAGGGUUGUAAAGCUCUUUUACCCGGGAUGAUAAUGACGGUACCGGGAGAAUAAGCACCGGCUAACUACGUG